ACAGCUCAAAUUUGAAAGCUGCCAACAGGCCGCGUUGUAAUUUGUAGAAGAUGCUUUGGGUGUUGGCCUGGUCUAAGUUCCUUGGAACAGGACGUCAUAGAGGGUGAGAAUCCCGUACGUGACUGGUGCCAGCAUCCGUGUAAAGCUCUUUCGACGAGUCGAGUUGUUUGGGAAUGCAGCUCAAAAUGGGUGGUAAAUUUCAUCUAAAGCUAAAUAUUGGCCAGAGACCGAUA
RNAcentral lists this ribosomal RNA (233 nucleotides) under Mollisiaceae sp. RNAcentral's name for it is "partial large subunit ribosomal RNA". It matches the Rfam family "Eukaryotic large subunit ribosomal RNA", at positions 104 to 339 of the family's 3401-position model. Lineage: Eukaryota; Fungi; Ascomycota; Leotiomycetes; Helotiales; Mollisiaceae. The record is from RNAcentral.